GAAGAUUUUUUUUUCCUUCACGCCCCUUACCUGCUACACGUUGCAGCUCCCUCUCCCCCAUCGCCACUUCUCACUUUCCCUGCUACACGUUGACCUGCCCACUGUUUUCAGAGAAACACUGCCACGCUGCCUCUCUUCUUCUUCCUGUAAAAACCAAGCUGACAUUCCCUCCUCUCACCUCCUCAGAAAACUAACACUCGGGUAGAAUAAAAAAAAAUACAGCAGUUUUACCCCCGUGGCACCAUGUCAUAGAUGAUCCGGAUCAUAUACGUGUUAUGUGGGUAGCAUGGCAACUACACAAAAGGACGAAAGUACUGGCUAUCGGCCAGGUGGCCUUCACUUGGAGAAGUUUCCAACCCGGUACAGCUCUCCUUUGUGACGACAGGAUAAGCCUAUAGUCGUUCAUUGGGACGAGCCAAACGUGCGCCGCUCAUGGUUAAAAGCGGAAUUGGUCAAAGGGAGGUUAAAACUUACACGCUAUAUAAAUGAUACAUGCAUUUAAUCUAAUUAUAUUCUAUUUAACUGUUUUUUUAUUUGUAUUUGAACUUUAUUUAGAAUUCCUGAAAAGAAAAUUUCACUUAUGUUGUGUUUUCUUUACUAAGUUGUCGAACUCACUCUUUUUUUUUCUCAAAUCUUUUUAGAUGACACUGUAGACCAAUUUUUUUUCUUUAUGGAUGGCGUAAACCCCACCCCUAAGAGCAAUAGAUCAAUAAAAACCGACCUAACUUUUAUAUUGUACAUUAUUUUUGAAAUUCUUGGAAAUAUGAUGUAAUAACUCAAGAACUACUAUAAAUAUAUUUAUAUAAUGAAAUAUAGUCAUGUGCUAUUUUUGGAAAAA
Molecule: long non-coding RNA, 838 nt
Organism: Alnus glutinosa
Lineage: Eukaryota; Viridiplantae; Streptophyta; Magnoliopsida; Fagales; Betulaceae
Exons: 2
Source: RefSeq, a predicted model, not a curated record